RNAcentral lists this ribosomal RNA (490 nucleotides) under uncultured bacterium. RNAcentral describes it as "partial 16S ribosomal RNA". It matches the Rfam family "Bacterial small subunit ribosomal RNA", at positions 30 to 507 of the family's 1533-position model. The record is from RNAcentral.
AUUGAACGCUGGCGGCAGGCCUAACACAUGCAAGUCGAACGGUAACAGAAAGCAGCUUGCUGCUUUGCUGACGAGUGGCGGACGGGUGAGUAAUGUCUGGGAAACUGCCUGAUGGAGGGGGAUAACUACUGGAAACGGUAGCUAAUACCGCAUAACGUCGCAAGACCAAAGAGGGGGACCUUCGGGCCUCUUGCCAUCGGAUGUGCCCAGAUGGGAUUAGCUAGUAGGUGGGGUAAAGGCUCACCUAGGCGACGAUCCCUAGCUGGUCUGAGAGGAUGACCAGCCACACUGGAACUGAGACACGGUCCAGACUCCUACGGGAGGCAGCAGUGGGGAAUAUUGCACAAUGGGCGCAAGCCUGAUGCAGCCAUGCCGCGUGUAUGAAGAAGGCCUUCGGGUUGUAAAGUACUUUCAGCGGGGAGGAAGGGAGUAAAGUUAAUACCUUUGCUCAUUGACGCUACCCGCAGAAGAAGCACCGGCUAACUCCGUG